UCGCAAUUCGAUCCACCGACAUCGUCUGCUCGAGUCAUCCGAGAUGAAAGUGAAACGUUGUUGCCUCUGUCUAUAAAAAUAGAGAGAUAGCGCCGCGAACAAACGUGACUAAACAGCACCGACACGUCGCGGAUGGUGAAAGGACGAAACUGUCUCUCAAAGAUUUUACGCGGGAAGAUGGCUAUCGAUCAAGGCGGAGUAAACUCCACAGAAAAGUGGUUCACCCUUCGAACCCCGAGUGGCACGAGUCUACUCGCGUUACGACACGCUGCCGGUAGGCCUGAUAAUUUAUUAUUACUGAAGAAAUGGAAGCCGCCAAUCUAUUAGCACGUUCGACAAUAACAGCACCGGCCCUAUACAUAUGCCAUCUCCGACGGUGCUGGUCGGUCGCGAUCAGCUUGUUCAAGCGGCAUCGAUCACGACGGUACGGAGAUACCAUAUGUUGUACGAGAGAAGUUCGCACGAGCUGAGAAAAAUUGCAUUAGGUAGUGAAACGUUUCAGAAAAUGAUGAAUCGAUCGAAAGAUAGAAGGCUAACUUGACGAACGACAUUAUUGUAUCGUAGUAGCGUUUGAUCAUGCUUGAUUCGGAAGAUCGUGUUGAUUUUGAUCUAUAGGAGCUAGGGAACGCUUCGAUCGUGCGAUUUGAGUUCUCUUCGCGCGUUUAAUAUAAUAAUUUUUAGGUUAGCCACCUAAAUAUGCUUCAGCAUUAGCGAUUGAUUUUGAAAAAUUAUGAAUUUGUCGAAAAGAAUAGGUCUAACUCGACACUGGACAUCCUGAAUGCUACUAUAAUCCUUGCAUUAAUAAUAACAUAUGUACGAAUUUUGAAAUAAUUAUUGUAAAGAAACGAAUCCUACAUAACAGUAUUGUGUCAUACUAAAGAGUAAACGUUCUCAUCCUUUGGUAGUACAUCGAAUCCACGAUAUACUGUUCGUUAAUUUCCAACAAAAAUCUAUUUACAUGCAAUUACAUUCUGCCUAUUGUGAAUAAAGAGUGUACAAAUAUUGUCCUGCAAUUCUUCUAAAAAAUAAAUAAAAUUUCCUCGCAAUUCGUCUCAUUCGAUCCUUCUCAAUAAUAAGUUUGCCGACCUCUGCUAUGGGCCUUCGUUGGGAGCAUAAAUAUACUUCGAAGAUCCUUUCUGCGUCUCG
Hylaeus volcanicus is the source of this 1146-nucleotide long non-coding RNA. RefSeq lists it as uncharacterized. The record is from RefSeq and is a predicted model, not a curated record. NCBI's taxonomy places the organism in Eukaryota, Metazoa, Arthropoda, Insecta, Hymenoptera, Colletidae. The transcript is spliced from 4 exons.